This 7017-nucleotide long non-coding RNA is filed under the name Brassica napus (rape). RNAcentral's name for it is "long non-coding RNA (BNAP_LNC000035)". Lineage: Eukaryota; Viridiplantae; Streptophyta; Magnoliopsida; Brassicales; Brassicaceae. The record is from RNAcentral.
GGGGUCAGAGUUUGAGUUCGAGAAUGGUACUGUUAAGCCAUGGGAAGGCGAAAUGAUUCAUGAAGUUGGUGUAGAGGAUCUUGAGCUCACUCUCGGUGGCACUAAGACAAGAUGCUAAAGAACCUUGAUCAUAACAGAGCAUUGUACAGGAGAGCUCGUGUGGCCCAAAGCCUAAGGGUCGAACCUUUUAAUUACCGUUACAUUCUCUCAGUUUAUACUUCAAUGUUUUACUUCUAUGGUGAUAAUGUUAUUGGAGGUAUUAAUGUGUGUUUAGUCACAUGAUUAAGAAAUGUUUUUUGGAGAUAAUGUUAUUGUUUUGCUGAUUUUAAUUGUUUUCUUUUUAUGAGAUAUUGUGAUUAGUUUUAGAGUUUGUUGUGUUGUGGACCUUGUGGGUGUGUUGAAUAAAACGAAACCUCCACGAGCGNNNNNNNNNNNNNNNNNNNNNNNNNNNNNNNNNNNNNNNNNNNNNNNNNNNNNNNNNNNNNNNNNNNNNNNNNNNNNNNNNNNNNNNNNNNNNNNNNNNNUCUGAAGAUCCUUUGAACCAUGACGCAGCACAAGUCUUAAGGGACAACCCAAAGCUCUUUGAGACCAAUGUCAGGAGAGCCAUGACCGGUGGCUAUGUUGGUCAGACCUUUUUCCCUCGCUGUAUCUAACAAAAGCCUGGGUUCGUUCUUCUUCAAGCAACAAGAUAAGAACUGGAACCUCUUUAUCAACCAUUGUAUCUCUUAUUCUCAAAAGAACCUUGUUUGCUUGUUUCUGUAAAAUUACAUUCGAAUGAGUUGUAUAACAUUCUGUUCAGUUUGAUUCGGUCUCAGUUUCAAUGUUUUUAUGCUGUGGUAUUUGAAAGAAUCAAAAAACAUAAGCAAAACUCUCAUAUCAUUUCAACGUCUUUAGAACUGGCCAUUUUCGCGUUCUCUCUAUCUUUCUUGAAAACGAAAUGCAAAGGCGUGUAAGAGAGACAACAGAGGCCAAAGGGGACAGCCAUCAUCGACAAAAGCCCCUUGGAGAGAGCCUCAGCUUCACGCACAGAGGAGCCUUUCAAAGGAUCAAUACCUUUUGAGUCAUACCCAAACAUCUUCUCAGACAAGAUCCCAACCAAAGGUGCAGCGAACGAGGAGAAAGAGCCUUCAAAAGCCCGGUCAAACGCGUAGAUCAUGGUCCGGUGCUUAGGUGGGACGACUUCAGCGAACAUGGGUGCGUUAACAGCUGAACNNNNNNNNNNNNNNNNNNNNNNNNNNNNNNNNNNNNNNNNNNNNNNNNNNNNNNNNNNUGAACCGCACCAGCUUAUGGUGAGACCCAUCAAGAAGAGAGUGAUGGAGAAAGUCAAGUAGCUUUCUCUGCUCUGUGGGAUUCCUUUCAGAAGGAUAAUUGAGAAUGGGAUCCCCAUGAAGGCGCUGAACUGCGCACACAUCACUCUACCGGAGUUCGGAAAGAUCCUAGACAUUUUGUCAGCAAUGAUGCCUCCCAUCAACGUUCCUAUAGCGCAUCCGGUCGCAAACACCCCAAGCAAAGCUGCUGUCUGGUUAUGAUCAAAACCUAAAACAAAACAAACAGUAAGCUUCAAAGACUACAGUUCUUGACAGAUGAUGAGGCUUACCAAUAAGCUCAAACCACAUUGUGAAGAAAACCAUUGCAGUCCAAGGCAAUGAACCAACGAUUCCUUGCAAGACAAUGAUCUGAAACGUCCUUACUUUCACCACUGACUUUGUAGCUGCCCAUGAGUCAUUCCAAACCGAUAUCUUUUGAACCAUUAGUUCCUCUCUACACAGUUACAACCAAAAGAUCAGUUAUGCUCUCAAGAAGGAAGUUCACUAGUUUGAGGAGGUUCUGUUUUACCGUUCAAUGUGCUUCCUGGGGUCAACCACGAAGAGAAAAACUAGUAACCCAAUCACAGCACUAAGAGUUGCCAUCAUGAUGAAAGCGCAACGCCAUCCCGGUACGCCCCAGAACUCAGAACCGGCCAUAACCGUUGCUACAACACCUCCUCCAAUACCACCAAUAGUACCAAUGAGAUUCAACAAGCCAAAACCAGCUCCUCUAGUACCAUCCUUGUAGCUAUCUGCUAUAAACGACUGAAGCGCCGGUAUCACAAUAGCUAACCCAAACCCAUUCACUGCUCUCCAUAAAGCAACCUUUAUCACAUUAAUAUAAACCAUUACACACAAAACUUAACACAACUUCAAAGAACCAUAAAACAAAACUUCUAAACAACUUUAUCACUAAAAAAAUUCAUGAUUCUUUUCUCUUAUCAGGCUUUAAAACUUAAUACUACUUUAAAGAACCGUUAAAUAAAACUUUAUAAGAAUCUUUAAAUAACGGAUUUAAGACAUUUUUUUACCUGAAUGAAGUAGUUGCUAGCUCCAACAGCAGCAGUAGAUAAAGCCCAACAGAGAGUACCUAUCGCAAGAACAAUGGGACGGUCAUAGGUAAUGACUAGAACUCCUGCUAACGGCGACGCGAGUCCUUGAACAAAGUUCCUAACGAAUGUUAAGUAUCCUAAAUCUGACGGUCCUGCGUUAAACGCUUCGCUCACUUCUUUGUAAACCGAAGGCAGUAGAUUCUCGUCUGCUCGCUCCAUGAUCGCAGCUAGGUUUAUCAGGAUAAGUGAUAUCGAAACUCCUAAAAACUUUCCUGUUCUGUAAUGAAAAAAAAAAAAAAAAAAAAAAGUUGGAAACUUUCAAACUCUUGCAAGAUUCGGACAGAGAGACAAUGAAACAGUUACAUCAUCCAAUCGAUGAAACAGAUCUACGAGACAAGAACAGUAAAAGUAUAAAUCGAAGAAGUCAAAAAAGGAGCUAACUUUAUCUUCAUGUUGUUAGUACGGAGGUUGCGAGGAAAAAGAGACCGGAAGAAUCCUAAAGCGGUGGAGAGGUAACCGGAACGAGUUCGAGCACGACCCAUCUAAAAAAAAUCAAAACUUGAACUCCAGUUUAACCGGAGAUGAAGUUUGGUUGGCUUCUGUAAUAUCGGAUCUUUAAAAUUUAAGACACAAGUCGUUUUUUUGGAUAUUACGUAUUGAAUGGUUUUUGUUUUUUUGUUAGAUUAUAGUUUUAAAAAUUUAUUACUAUAGAUUUUAAUUUUCAAUGAUAGUACUGAUCAUGGAUUGUAAUUAAAGGAUUAUUUUUUACUAAUAAAACAGAUUUGUUUUUUUAUCAACACUAAUAAAAAAGAUUAUCAGUUUUAUUUGGCACGUAAUGGUAGUUGAGUGGGUGGAUCGUUACAGGGAGGAACAUGCUUACAUGAAUAUGUACUAUUUUUCGGAUGUCAAUAGAUUGUGACGUUAUACUAUUCAGAAAAAUAGAUUAUGAAGUCAAUAGAAAAAAAAAAGCUCAUGGGAAAGAAAUACACAACACUCGUUUUGAGUUUUAUGAUGACGGAUGCUGACGAAUGAGGAGGUGCGGAAACUUCUUUUGUGAACGUAUGUAUAUCAACAUAGUGGUCACGGGAGUCAGCUCUUAUCAUGAAGGGGCAAGUGAAUGAGAGCCCUCUUACUUUUCUUAUAUCACUUGACUAUAUCAUAUUUUUAAAAAGAGGUUAAAUAUCUUCAAGUAACUUCAAACCCCAAGUGCUAACCGAGUUAGUUUCAAGCCCAAGUGCUGGGAAUGUAACUCUCCAAUCUACCAUGAUUCUAACAUAUGGUUGGUCCAUUCAAAGAAGACCUCGAGAUUUGUUCCAAAAGACCGUGUUUUUACUGCGUGAUCUGGUUGCUAUGAAGAUGUAAAAUUUGGUAUUAUGUUGGGAAAUGUUUUUCUGGUGUCUGAUGUCAUGACGCUGGUUUAAGCAUUCGAGUGCCAAACAAUAAAACGUUCUAAAAUAUGAAAGUCCAAAUAUGAGAUCACAUGUCUGACUUCUCUAUACCGAGACCUCUGAAAUAAACAAUGCACAGCCACAUCAAUGAGGUUCAAAAGGUACUGGAAGAAAAUUUCAUUGAUAAAAUGUACUAUCACAUCAGUUUGAAAUAUUGUUUGCCUUCAUUACAAAAUAGAUAUAUCAUAUUGACACCUAACAAGGCAUUUUCACAAUUAUGCAAUGAUAAUUAAUAUACAGAAAUGGAGGAAUUCAAUUUUGUUUUGUAAAGUUAGAAUAAGAAACCGAAAUAUUUUACCAGCGUACAAAUAAUUAAAACGCAAAAUCACACCGAAUUGACCGAUGCAUUGAACAAUAACAGUGAGAAUAGCUGGUUUGUGACUAUGGACGCCGCACGAUUAAAUGAAUUAAUCAAAUUUAAAUCAAAGUAGAUUAAUUGUACAUGACCACGCCGUACCAUUUGAAACUUUGUUAAUAUUCCCCACGUGAAUGAUUUGAUCCAAAGUCACUGACAGAUUGGAUCUUUUUGGCAUCACCAAUUAUUGUAUUUUUCUUUAGAAACUUUUUAUUUCUUGGUUUGUGAACAUGAAUGAUAAGACGUGGUUGAAUAUGAUAAACACAAUAUAAAACACCACACAAAAUUGUCUCAUUUAAUUGGCAAGCAGUAACAAAUGUUAUAUAUAUAACAUAAGAUUGUGAAAAAUUCAAUCGGUGAGUAUAUAUAAUUUUUUAAUACCAGGAAAAUAGUAGAAUUGUUUGAUUAAUAAUUAGUUAGCUGUAAAUAAUAGCAUGAAUCCAGCUGGGGAUUCUGCUUCCUGUCUUUGCUCACGCCUCACUGGAGCCGCACGUGCUCCGACCACGAUGCCAAAUUGUGUUUUACUUGUAUACUUUUCUCAUUUUUAUGCUUAAAAUAUUUCGUUUUCUGUUGUAAAAAAAAAGAAAAAUAUAUAGUUUUCCUAAUUACACUGAUACAUUUAUAAUGACAUCAAAUUUAUCGUUUUUGAUGCAUCUUGAUGACUUGAAAUCUUCAUUAAACAUCUUGUAAGUCAUUUUAUUAAAUUAAAUAUGACCGUUUUGCUAUUAAUAAAAUUUACAACCUAAGAGAAAAUGGAAAAAUAAAAUAAUAGUAUCAUCAAUAUCUUCGCUUAGACAACUCGGAAAAGUCAUACAAAUGUAUUCGUAAAAGGAAAAUUCUUUCACAAGACGACAACAUGAAACUCUGUCGUCAUUUUAAAAUUUGUGAAAACAAUGCAAAUUAUCACUAGAAUAUACUACAGUUUAACCUUUUUCACACCUCUUUCUAAAAAUUACUAGUAUAAGUUUAUAUACCACUUGAUCAAAAAAAAAAAAGAAGUUUAUAUACCACUAUAAAAUAAUUAAAAUGCACAAGAGGGAAAAAAAGAAAGAAAAAAAGAUACCAAUUCAUUGAAUAGUGAAAAGGAAACCAGUAGGGGACCACAGCUCGUGCGUUACAUUAAUUAGACACGUGGAAGCUGACUUCCAUAAGCGGUCCCACAGUUAGACACGGAUCGCACGUGCGGAGACAAACAAAAAAAAAAUUAAAUUUUUAUUUAUAAAACCAGAGACGAUGAAAGCCAAUCCGCUUGAGAGUCACCAAAGAAACUCUCUCUCUCUCUCUCGUCUCCCUCGUGCGCCAGACUGACAAAGACAUCAGAAAGAUAAAGAAAGAUCAAAGCUUUUCUAUGGCGGCAGGUGGAGGAGGAUCAUCGUCGGCGGGACGGACUCCGACGUGGAAGGAGAGGGAGAACAACAAGAAGAGGGAGAGGAGAAGAAGAGCCAUCACGGCCAAGAUUUACUCUGGUCUCAGAGCUCAAGGUAACUACAAGCUCCCUAAGCACUGCGACAACAACGAAGUCCUUAAAGCUCUCUGUCUCGAAGCUGGUUGGAUCGUUGAAGACGACGGCACCACUUAUCGCAAGGUCAAAUCCUUUUUCUCAAUUCAAUUCAUCAUCGAUCUAAUGAAAAUAUUAGUAAUUUUAUUUCUUAAUCAAUUGAAUUAUUAGAGAGAUUCUGAGAUAAAACAGUAAAGUUUGAUUAUUAUUAUUUUUUUAAUAGUUUUUUUUUUUUUGAGUUUGAUUAUUCGGACAAAACUAUUGUACUUCUUGUCUGAAACCAAUUUCUUAUUCAGAUGAAUUAUUAGAGAGACUCUGAGAUAAAACAGUAAAGUUUGAUUAUUAUUUUUUCUGACCAAUUUUUUUUUUGUAAGUUUGAUUAUUCCGACAAAACUAUUUUACUUCUUGUCUGAAAACCAAUCAAAGUCAUUGACUUUGACUUUGAAACUGCAUCGUAUUGUGUAGUCUUUGACUGAUUCUUGAAUUGUUCAACAGGGUUUUAAGCCAACUCCGACGAACUUCAGCACGAACUCAUCAAUCCAACCGAGUCCACAAUCAUCUGCCUUCCCAAGCCCGGCACCUUCUUACCACGGCUCCCCUGUCUCAUCCUCCUUCCCAAGCCCAUCUCGUUACGACCAAAACCCUUCCUCGUACCUCCUCCUCCCUUUCCUCCACAACAUCGCUUCCUCCAUCCCAUCAAACCUCCCUCCUCUCAGAAUCUCCAACAGCGCUCCCGUAACUCCCCCCUUGUCCUCUCCCACCUCUCGCGGUUCGAAGCGGAAGCUCAUCACAGAACAGCUACCAAACGGCGGGUCUUUGCUAAGACACCCGCUUUUCGCUAUCUCUGCUCCGUCUAGUCCUACGCGCCGCGGCGGUCACCAGACGCCGCCGACGAUACCUGAAUGCGACGAGUCUGAGGAGGAUUCGGUAGAGGAUUCAGGACGGUGGAUUAGUUUUCAGUCCACGGCUCCUCCUUCACCGACGUUUAACCUCGUUCAGCAGACGUCUAUGGAGAUUGACAUGAAGAGACCAGAGUGGGGGAUGAAUGCGAGGGGGUCAGAGUUUGAGUUCGAGAAUGGUACUGUUAAGCCAUGGGAAGGCGAAAUGAUUCAUGAAGUUGGUGUAGAGGAUCUUGAGCUCACUCUCGGUGGCACUAAGACAAGAUGCUAAAGAACCUUGAUCAUAACAGAGCAUUGUACAGGAGAGCUCGUGUGGCCCAAAGCCUAAGGGUCGAACCUUUUAAUUACCGUUACAUUCUCUCAGUUUAUACUUCAAUGUUGUACUUCUAUGGUGAUAAUGUUAUUGGAGGUAUUAAUGUGUGUUUAGUCACAUGAUUAAGAAAUGUUUUUUGGAGAUA